This 291-nucleotide unclassified non-coding RNA is filed under the name uncultured fungus. RNAcentral describes it as "sequence contains ITS1". The stretch from base 1 to 105 matches the Rfam family "5.8S ribosomal RNA", at positions 50 to 154 of the family's 154-position model. The record is from RNAcentral. Lineage: Eukaryota; Fungi.
GAAAUGCGAUACGUAAUGUGAAUUGCAGAAUUCAGUGAAUCAUCAAAUCCUUGAACGCAACUUGCGCUCGUGAGUCCUCUCACGAGCAUGCCUGUUUGAGUGUCGGUUUCCAAUCAUCACCCAUCCCACCCGUGCGGUCGGAUCGGCGUGGAAGCGAAUGGGAGUUGGACGGCCUACGGCCGCUCAUCUCUUGAAACGAACGGUGCUCUGUGCGGCAGCCGGUUGUGAGGCGUCUUGCGAGACUCUCGACCCUUCCCGUCCGUUACGACGAGCCUGGUGGAUCAAUGAGUU